UUUAUGAAAAGGUCAUUGACUUCAAGUAAAGGUGCAGCUUAUAGAAAAGAAAGAGGUGGGUUACAUUUAAAAGAAUAAUACGGAUAAGAUGAAUGAAGGAAUCUUUGAAGGUGGAUUUAACUGUNAAAUUUAAUAAAAUUUGGUGAGAGCUCUAUCUUGUG
RNAcentral lists this ribosomal RNA (161 nucleotides) under Tetraclita achituvi. Its description in RNAcentral is "partial 12S ribosomal RNA". Lineage: Eukaryota; Metazoa; Arthropoda; Thecostraca; Balanomorpha; Tetraclitidae. The record is from RNAcentral.